GGCUUAUUAGCUCAGUUGGUUAGAGCGUCGUGCUAAUAACGCGAAGGUCACAGGUUCGAAACUUGUAUGGGCCA
This is a transfer RNA of Ipomoea nil (Japanese morning glory), 74 nucleotides long. It matches the Rfam family "tRNA". From Rfam's summary of the family: Transfer RNA (tRNA) molecules are approximately 80 nucleotides in length. NCBI's taxonomy places the organism in Eukaryota, Viridiplantae, Streptophyta, Magnoliopsida, Solanales, Convolvulaceae. The record is from Rfam.